GGCCUUGACAUACUAAGAACUUUCCAGAGAUGGAUUGGUGCCUUCGGGAACUUUAGAUACAGGUGCUGCAUGGCUGUCGUCAGCUCGUGUCGUGAGAUGUUGGGUUAAGUCCCGNAACGAGCGCAACCCUUUUCCUAUUUGCCAGCGGGUCAUGCCGGGAACCUUAAGGAUACUGCCAGUGACAAACUGGAGGAAGGCGGGGACGACGUCAAGUCAUCAUGGCCCUUACGGCCAGGGCUACACACGUGCUACAGUGGUCGGUACAAAGGGUUGCUACCUCGCGAGAGGAUGCUAAUCUCAAAAAGCCGAUCGUAGUCCGGAUCGCAGUCUGCAACUCGACUGCGUGAAGUCGGAAUCGCUAGUAAUCGCGGAUCAGAAUGCCGCGGUGAAUACGUUCCCGGGCCUUGUACACACCGCCCGUCACACCAUGGGAGUUUGUUGCACCAGAAGUAGGUAGUCUAACCGCAAGGAGGACGCUUACCACGGUGUGGCCGAUGACUGGGGUGAAGUCGUAACAAGGUAAGCGUAGAUGA
This 533-nucleotide ribosomal RNA is filed under the name uncultured bacterium. Its description in RNAcentral is "bacterial SSU rRNA". It matches the Rfam family "Bacterial small subunit ribosomal RNA", at positions 977 to 1509 of the family's 1533-position model. The record is from RNAcentral.